GAUUGUCAUAGCUUCUAACAGUUCCAUAAGGCACAAAAGAAUAGCUGUUAACAAGCAAGGGUGGGUGGAAAACAAAUAAAGGAAAAAUCUUGGUGUUUUUGCUUCGAACCACAGUUCACAGAAAAGAACCAAAGAUCUUUCUGUUUUCCCAAUCCAAUCCAAUCCAAUCCUAUUUUAUCUGCAACUCCAAUACAUAAUCUUUGAAUUCUUGGUAAGC
RNAcentral lists this unclassified non-coding RNA (217 nucleotides) under Hevea brasiliensis (rubber tree). Lineage: Eukaryota; Viridiplantae; Streptophyta; Magnoliopsida; Malpighiales; Euphorbiaceae. The record is from RNAcentral.